Molecule: small nucleolar RNA, 132 nt
Organism: Tachyglossus aculeatus (Australian echidna)
Lineage: Eukaryota; Metazoa; Chordata; Mammalia; Monotremata; Tachyglossidae
Source: RefSeq, a predicted model, not a curated record
CCCCUCUUAGGGCCGUACCUGGAGAGUUUCCAGUACUCUACCAGUCUCGGCUGGGAGGGAGAGUCAAGCGGAGGCCUAUUCCAUUCCUAGCUUGGGCAGUGGCUAGUGAGUGGAAGGCAAUCUGCUACAAGU